CCGAGUUUCCUACCAAGACUGUUACAGGCAAAAGAAAACAGCUUCACUCUCCCCACUGGAGGAUAGUGGGAUGCCCACCACCACUAUGCCACACAACACAAGGAAUGUCAUGGGCCAGCAUUCAGGUCUGAUCUGUAUUUCAGCGCUGAUCCCUGUCCUGGAGGUUUGGCUCCCGGAGCCACGAGAUGGGUGAGUAGCAGAGGAAGCAAAACCAGUUACCAGAUACUGGCAACUCUCUGACAUUUCUACUGUCAGUGCUGAAAGGGCCGAAGCUUCUUUAGGACUGAAGGCAAAUAAAUACAUAUCCUCAUGUCUUCAAUGAGAUCAGAGAUGCCAACAUCAUCUAUGUUGGAAUACAACAUCCCGU
This is a long non-coding RNA of Gavia stellata (red-throated loon), 367 nucleotides long. RefSeq lists it as uncharacterized. NCBI's taxonomy places the organism in Eukaryota, Metazoa, Chordata, Aves, Gaviiformes, Gaviidae. The transcript is spliced from 3 exons. The record is from RefSeq and is a predicted model, not a curated record.